Molecule: unclassified non-coding RNA, 329 nt
Filed under: soil metagenome
Description: partial contains 5.8S ribosomal RNA, internal transcribed spacer 2, and large subunit ribosomal RNA
Rfam family: 5.8S ribosomal RNA (bases 1-120)
Source: RNAcentral
GAUGAAGAACGUAGCGAAAUGCGAAAAGUAGUGUGAAUUGCAGAAUUCAGUGAAUCAUCGAAUCUUUGAACGCACAUUGCGCCCCUUGGUAUUCCAUGGGGCAUGCCUGUUCGAGCGUCAUUACAACCCUCAAGCUCAGCUUGGUGUUGGGCCCCGCCGCCCCGGCGGGCCCUAAAGUCAGUGGCGGUGCCGUCCGGCUCCGAGCGUAGUAAUUCUUCUCGCUCUGGAGGUCCGGUCGUGUGCUCGCCAGCAACCCCCAAUUUUUUUCAGGUUGACCUCGGAUCAGGUAGGGAUACCCGCUGAACUUAAGCAUAUCAAUAAGCGGAGGA